This 497-nucleotide ribosomal RNA is filed under the name uncultured bacterium. Its description in RNAcentral is "partial 16S ribosomal RNA". It matches the Rfam family "Bacterial small subunit ribosomal RNA", at positions 28 to 507 of the family's 1533-position model. The record is from RNAcentral.
GAUGAACGCUGGCGGCGUGCCUAAUACAUGCAAGUCGAGCGAACAGAUGAGGAGCUUGCUCCUCUGACGUUAGCGGCGGACGGGUGAGUAACACGUGGAUAACCUACCUAUAAGACUGGGAUAACUUCGGGAAACCGGAGCUAAUACCGGAUAAUAUAUUGAACCGCAUGGUUCAAUAGUGAAAGACGGUUUUGCUGUCACUUAUAGAUGGAUCCGCGCCGCAUUAGCUAGUUGGUAAGGUAACGGCUUACCAAGGCGACGAUGCGUAGCCGACCUGAGAGGGUGAUCGGCCACACGGGAACUGAGACACGGUCCAGACGCCUACGGGAGGCAGCAGUAGGGAAUCUUCCGCAAUGGGCGAAAGCCUGACGGAGCAACGCCGCGUGAGUGAUGAAGGUCUUCGGAUCGUAAAACUCUGUUAUUAGGGAAGAACAAAUGUGUAAGUAACUAUGCACGUCUUGACGGUACCUAAUCAGAAAGCCACGGCUAACUACGUG